AAAUGUAAAAAGGCAUGUUGCAAAUGUACUGAUCAAUGUCCUGCCGGUUCAACAUGUAUAAGAGAAGAAGAUACAUGUAAUGGAACAAUAAACACAAAAGGAUGUUGUGGGAACAGGGUCUGCUGUACGCCAACUACAUGUGUAACUAACUGUGCUCAUAUUUGUUAUGAUGGCUGUCAUGUCAGCAAUGUAAGAGAAGGAGAGUGUUGUGGAUCGACAUGUUGCUUUCAAAAUAUCUGAUACUAGAAGUCUUCAGAACACAAUGCCAUGUGAAAAUGUCUACAGAAUACAAUUUUAUGUGAAAAUGACUACAGAACACAAUGUUAUGUGAAAAUGUCUACAGAAUACAA
Mytilus trossulus (common blue mussel) is the source of this 350-nucleotide long non-coding RNA. RefSeq lists it as uncharacterized. The record is from RefSeq and is a predicted model, not a curated record. Lineage: Eukaryota; Metazoa; Mollusca; Bivalvia; Mytilida; Mytilidae. The transcript has 4 exons.